Molecule: ribosomal RNA, 714 nt
Filed under: Acarospora organensis
Lineage: Eukaryota; Fungi; Ascomycota; Lecanoromycetes; Acarosporales; Acarosporaceae
Description: Acarospora sp. EH-2021b partial large subunit ribosomal RNA
Rfam family: Eukaryotic large subunit ribosomal RNA
Source: RNAcentral
CUUGAAACAAGACGUCAUAGAGGGUGAGAAUCCCGUAUGUGACCGGCCGCCACCCCCGUGAAAAGCUCUUUAGAAGAGUCGAGUUGUUUGGGAACGCAUCUCAAAAGGGGUUGUAAAUUUCAUCUAAAGAUAAAUAUUCCCCAGAGACCGAUAGCGCACAAGUAGAGUGAUCGAAAGAUGAAAAGCAUUUUGGAAAGAGACUCACACAGCACGAGAAAUUGUUGAAAGGGACGCGCGUGCAACCAGACUCCCCCGGGGGCGCUCAGCCGGUAUUUUUACCGGCGCACUCACCCGCGGUCAGCCCAGCAUCGGUUCGGGCGGCUGGACAAAGUCCGCGGGAAUGUAGCUCCUUGUGGGGAGUGUUAUAGCCAGCGGCCCCACGCAGCCCCCCCGGCCCGAGGACCGCGCUUCGGCUAGGAUGCUGGCGUAAUGGUUGUAAGCGACCCGUCUUGAAACACGGACCAAGGAGUCUAACAUCUAUGCGAGUGUUUGGGUGUCAAACCCAUGCGCGUAAUGAAAGUGAACGGAGGUGGGAACCCUCAAGGGUGCACCAUCGACCGAUCCUGAUGUCUUCGGAUGGAUUUGAGUAAGAGCAUAGCUGUUGGGACCCGAAAGAUGGUGAAAUAUGCCUGAAUAGGGUGAAGCCAGAGGAAACUCUGGACUCCAGCGGUUCUGACGUGCAAAUCGAUCGUCAAAUUUGGGUAUAGGGGCGAA